AUCCUUUCCUUUCGGCAACUAUUAUAGUAGAAUCUCUUGGUAUACUUAUCUGUGAAGUCAACUGGGUGGAUUCUAAAUGCGAUGUAGAAUUCACCUUACACACAGUGGAUUCAGUUCAUUGAAAGGCUUAUAUGACUACCAAUAGCUGCAUUUGUCAUUAGAAGAUCAUUUUGUUUUGCUUUUCACAGGAUGCGAAAUUAAUUGUCUGGAUGAUUUCUAGCUUUACAUCAGUUUUUCAAAUCCCACUAUAAAUUGUAUAGUUGUACCUGAAAGAUAAAAUGUUGAAAUGAACUGGUUUACCCCUUUUGAAGAUGACAGAAUUAACCUCAAGCAUCUCCUUCGAAAUUGAUUUUGGUCUCUCUAGUCCAACUGGGUAUAUCUCCCUGAUGAUGUUUGUGCUCAUCAUUGUUUGUAGAUUUUGCCCUACAAUAUAGUUAUAGAUCUGGAACAUGCAUUUGUUGGCUGGUCAGCGUUUUGGAGAAAUAGUUGGAAGGUCAUAUCGCAUGGAUCCAGAGAUGCUAGCAGGGUGAGGGACCAGAUGUUGAUGCAUCUAGGACAGGCACUGCGUUUUUUGGGCUGGCAACUACUUUCUUUCAAAUUGAUUAAUUUUCUUUGCCAAGAACUGGAGAAAGAAUUGCAAGGCCAGUGGUGGGGCAACGUAAAUAUUGACGGGGAUCCUUGGCCAAACCAUUGUGGAGAGGAUGGGCGUUGUCCUUAUUAACCAUCUGAAAAAUCCUUGAAAAUAGAGGCAGAUGGUUAGGCAAUGACUCACUCCACUGGUAGAUGGUGUCUAGAAGCACUUUGACUGCAUUAGCUAAUGGGGGAGCAGCACCAAAAAAUUAAGUAGACUUGACUUGAGGCUGAGGGUCGAAGCCUCCUCGUCGAAGUAAAAUAGGUGGCUAUCUAUCACAGGCUGGUUCAUUGAAAGAAACUGGUCAAUAUCGAUUAUCUUUGGGCACGGUUGGGGAUUGAUGAUGGAACAGCCUAUUUAUUUUUUUUCGCCUACUUUGCAAAAUUGUUUGAUAUCGGUCUUCAGUCCUAUUGUAUACUGAUAAUUUUUUAUCAGGGGACAUGGUAAAAUGUGUUCUCUUUUUUCCCUCUUUAA
Molecule: RNA transcript, 1105 nt
Organism: Syzygium oleosum
Lineage: Eukaryota; Viridiplantae; Streptophyta; Magnoliopsida; Myrtales; Myrtaceae
Exons: 4
Source: RefSeq, a predicted model, not a curated record